RNAcentral lists this ribosomal RNA (391 nucleotides) under Burkholderia sp. HP5. RNAcentral's name for it is "bacterial SSU rRNA". It matches the Rfam family "Bacterial small subunit ribosomal RNA", at positions 961 to 1356 of the family's 1533-position model. RNAcentral also lists the same sequence under 1 other name. Lineage: Bacteria; Pseudomonadati; Pseudomonadota; Betaproteobacteria; Burkholderiales; Burkholderiaceae. The record is from RNAcentral.
GCGAAGAAACUUCCUACCCUUUAUAUUGUCGGAAUCCUGCUGAGAGGUGUGAGUGCUCGAAAGAGAACCGGCGCACAGGUGCUGCAUGGCUGUCGUCAGCUCGUGUCGUGAGAUGUUGGGUUAAGUCCCGCAACGAGCGCAACCCUUGUCCUUAGUUGCUACGCAAGAGCACUCUAAGGAGACUGCCGGUGACAAACCGGAGGAAGGUGGGGAUGACGUCAAGUCCUCAUGGCCCUUAUGGGUAGGGCUUCACACGUCAUACAAUGGUCGGAACAGAGGGUUGCCAACCCGCGAGGGGGAGCUAAUCCCAGAAAACCGAUCGUAGUCCGGAAUGCACUCUGCAACUCGAGUGCAUGAAGCUGGAAUCGCUAGUAAUCGCGGAUCUAGCAUG